CACGGGGGGAGCAAGCGCUGUUCGGAAUCACUGGGCGUAAAGGGCGUGUAGGCGGUCAGGUAAGUGGGAUGUGAAAUGCCCCGGCUCACCCGGGGACCGGCAUCCCAUACUGCUUGGCUUGAGUACGGGAGAGGAUGUGGGAAUUCCUGGUGUAGCGGUGAAAUGCGUAGAUAUCAGGAGGAACACCGGUGGCGAAGGCGCACAUCUGGCCCGAUACUGACGCUGAGGCGCGAAAGCUAGGGGAGCAAACUGG
Molecule: ribosomal RNA, 253 nt
Filed under: uncultured bacterium
Lineage: Bacteria
Description: partial 16S ribosomal RNA
Rfam family: Bacterial small subunit ribosomal RNA
Source: RNAcentral